CCGGCUUAUUGAUUUGGAUUUUCGGGUCGGGAGUAUGGGUUUCAGUUUCCUAAUCUCUCUUUUCUUUCACUCUUUCCUUUUCUCUUCAAACCCUAGAUCCAUUCAAUAUUUCUGGCCGUCACGCUCACAGGCGAUUUCUCAUCUCUGUAAUCGGAAUCCAUUCAUACGCUUCUUCCUUCUUUGGUGAUUCUUCAGUUUUAUGCACACAAUUUAAUCUUCCAAUUAAAAGAAAAACAAUUUAUGGGAAAGCUUGGGAAGAAAUUAUGCUUUGUAGUUUGCCCUAUUCGUCUUCACGUCCUUCGUAUACGCCAAGGCUGGUGUUGAUAAUAAGACCUUUUUUUCUAUUGACAUGAGGCUGUGAUGAACAUGUAUAUGUGAUUCAGAUCGGGGUGCCGCUUAAACUUUCACGUGGCAAAUUGGAUGGAUGGCAGGUGCUCACCUGCAACCUCCAAUGCAGCCAUGUUGGGUCUAUGAUUUUUCAAUUAUACAAUCUGAGAAUUGAAUAACUUAUACCUUCUCACUUUGAUAUCCAGAUCAAAACUAAAUAGAUCAGAUGUAACUUAUCAAUGUCUGAAGUGAGCUCAUGAAUAAUGUCCAUUAAUGAUCAAGGUAAUACACAUACAUGAAAAUUUGUUCAUCCACUUCUUCCUUCUCUGCCAAAACCACCAUUCUCCGCUUGAUUAAUUGGUGAAUUAGGCUAAAAAGAAUGGAAACCAAAUUGACAUAUCAGAGUUUCGAGCUCAGCUUGAUGCAUUGGGUUUGAAAAUUAUAGACGUUACAGCAGACGGAAAUUGCUUUUUCAGGUUUUGAACAUGCCUCUCUGGACUCAUCUAUAUCUUUUUUUAAAGAUUAAUUGGUAGGACCUGCUCCCUCUCAUCGAUAUCCGUGAUGGAUAUCUUGAAAUCACUUUCUUAUUUAAAGACCAGAUUUAUGGUUGAGCUAAAUGGUAUAGUCUCAUUUAGGAAUACUUGGUACCUCAAGAAUACAUCAAUACAUUGAUGGAGUCAAUGUUGAAUAGAUGUCCGACAUCUUCCUUUGUUUUUUAUAGUAUUAAUCUAAAUUUGUUUCAUUUGAAAGAUAUAAUUUUGACUCGGUGGUGGGUCAAACUCAAGAAGCAGUGGCACAACAUGAAUAAAACAGACCAAGGGUGCCGCUUUCUCUGACGUAGAGAGAUUCAAAGAUAACUAACUGUUGUUAUCUGCAGACGGCAGCAACGCUGACUAUGUGUUCCGGUUCAGUGAAGGCAGCCUAGCGGAGUUACGGUUUGGUAAGAUAUGAUGUCGGUUGGAAGUUUUAGGAUUCUGAUGAUGUCUGGUUAACUCCGGUGACCUGAACCAGUUUGGCUGCGAUUUCGACAACAUCAAUCUGAAUAAGUAUUUGAAUCAGGCACCUUUGAUACAACACAUAUGUGUUGCCGGCGAUUGUUAGUUGUUUUGAAGUUUUUGUUAAGAAUGUUGCAGUUAAAAAGUGACGAUGGCAGCCUAGAGGGGUUAAAGUUUGGUAAGAAAUGAUGGCGGCUGGAAGUUUUAGGAUUCUAACGAAGUCUGUUUAACUCCGAUGAGAACUCGGUGACCUGAACCAGGGUUACGCAUGAAGGAGAGGAAGAAGAAAGAUGAACUGUUAAGUUGAAAAGAGGGGUGGAUAUCGUUGUCGGAGCAGUCGGUCGUGUUAAGGAUCACAUUGAGAGAGUGAAUCUUGACUUAUGCUCAUUGAAAUUCUGUAUCCUUGAUGAAGCUGAUGAAAUGUUGAGGCAAGGUCUUACAUCAAAGGGUGCAAGAUUUUCCAACCAUAACUCUGGGAGGCAUUCUGGAUCAAGACAGUGAUGACUUGCGACAUAUACCUGGUGUGAUGACCCCAACAGAAGAAAUUUUUAUCCUGUAUAAAUUGCGAACUACAGGACAGCUUGCGGCAACUCCGCCAUUCCGGUACUCGAACCUGUUCGCUCUCAUAAUCUGGCAGGGAACGUACCGAUGGUGUUGGUUUGUUCUUUUGACGGCCGAUCCGAUGUAGAUGUAUGUGUACUCAUUGGAAGAUUCAUUGGAUUUGAGUUUUUAACGACUCAUUUAAGACUACAACGAUCGCAGUUUUGGUUACGAAUCGAGAUGAAACAUAUAUCAUUGACUGGAAAAUAGCAGAGCCCAUCUGAGAUGAACCAUAAACCAUCGACUAAAAAGGAAGAGUGCCCAAAUGAUACAGUAAAUUAUUUUGCUUUUUAGUUAUAUGCUUGCUUGAUUAUGUGGGAAAACAUUAUAGUAAAAUGAUAAAUUUCAAGUUCUAAGUUUAUAUCCGACACAAUCCGGAUUAAUCUUUGUUUUCAUUGCUGAUUUAUGUAUAGCUUAUUGUGAAUUUUAGAAAAUUUAACAGGAAUGUUUUAUAUAGCAAAUCAUGGAUUAUGAUAGGAAAAGAUGGGAAGUCAUAAUUGAGAUA
RNAcentral lists this long non-coding RNA (2427 nucleotides) under Helianthus annuus (common sunflower). Lineage: Eukaryota; Viridiplantae; Streptophyta; Magnoliopsida; Asterales; Asteraceae. The record is from RNAcentral.